GCGGGGUAACGGCCCACCAAGGCGACGACGGGUAGCCGGCCUGAGAGGGCGACCGGCCACACUGGAACUGAGACACGGUCCAGACUCCUACGGGAGGCAGCAGUGGGGAAUAUUGCACAAUGGGCGCAAGCCUGAUGCAGCGACGCCGCGUGGGGGAUGAAGGCCUUCGGGUUGUAAACCCCUUUUGGCAGGGAAGAAGCGAAAGUGACGGUACCUGCAGAAAAAGCGCCGGCUAACUACGUGCCAGCAGCCGCGGUAAUACGUAGGGCGCAAGCGUUGUCCGGAAUUAUUGGGCGUAAAGAGCUCGUAGGCGGUCCGUCGCGUCUGCUGUGAAAACCCGAGGCUUAACCUCGGGCUUGCAGUGGGUACGGGCGGACUAGAGUGUGGUAGGGGAGACUGGAAUUCCUGGUGUAGCGGUGGAAUGCGCAGAUAUCAGGAGGAACACCGAUGGCGAAGGCAGGUCUCUGGGCCUCAACUGACGCUGAGGAGCGAAAGCGUGGGUAGCAAACAGGAUUAGAUACCCUGGUAGUCCACGCCGUAAACGGUGGGCACUAGAUGUGGGGCUCAUUCCACGAGUUCCGCGUCGCAGCUAACGCAUUAAGUG
This 604-nucleotide ribosomal RNA is filed under the name uncultured Actinobacteridae bacterium. Its description in RNAcentral is "bacterial SSU rRNA". It matches the Rfam family "Bacterial small subunit ribosomal RNA", at positions 252 to 866 of the family's 1533-position model. Lineage: Bacteria; Bacillati; Actinomycetota; Actinomycetes. The record is from RNAcentral.